This 28-nucleotide ribosomal RNA is filed under the name Leptographium lundbergii. RNAcentral describes it as "partial 5.8S ribosomal RNA". RNAcentral also lists the same sequence under 2 other names. Lineage: Eukaryota; Fungi; Ascomycota; Sordariomycetes; Ophiostomatales; Ophiostomataceae. The record is from RNAcentral.
GGCGGGCAUGCCUGUCCGAGCGUCAUUU